GUAGGUGAACCUGCGGAAGGAUCAUUAAAUAUUUGGUGCAAAAUAGGACGACGCUUCGGCGCGCGCGCCUACCAAAACAGUAGAAGGUGGGGGGACGUCUAGCCGCUUCUCGUCCCUCCACCGGGAAAUUAUCCCCCAACUGUGCACCUAUUGAAAGGAACUUGGUCUUGGCCACCUGUAAAUAACCUUUGUCUAAACGUUUGUC
Molecule: unclassified non-coding RNA, 205 nt
Filed under: plant metagenome
Description: partial contains small subunit ribosomal RNA, internal transcribed spacer 1, and 5.8S ribosomal RNA
Source: RNAcentral